Non-coding RNA from Suncus etruscus (white-toothed pygmy shrew), 140 nucleotides. RefSeq annotates it as small Cajal body-specific RNA 21. The transcript has a single exon. The record is from RefSeq and is a predicted model, not a curated record. Lineage: Eukaryota; Metazoa; Chordata; Mammalia; Eulipotyphla; Soricidae.
UGGCUCGAUUUCCUGGGGGGUGGGCUCAGCCCGCUCCACCUCCCCUCAGACGAGCCUAGAGCAAAGAGGCUGGGCUUUCUGCCAAAUGGGAGAGGUUGUUAAGAAAGAAGCCUCACCUGGGCUAUCCCUGCCAUACAUUU